CCUACGGGAGGCAGCAGUGAGGAAUAUUGGUCAAUGGGCGCGAGCCUGAACCAGCCACGUCGCGUGAGGGAAGACGGUCCUCUGGAUUGUAAACCUCUUUUGUCGGGGAGCAAAAGACGCCACGCGUGGCGUUCCGACAGUCCCCCAAGACCACAGAUCGGCGAACUACGUGCCAGCAGCCGCGGUAAGCCGGAGGAGACGAGCGUUAUCCGGAGUUAGUUGGUUUAAAGGGUGCGUAGGUGGAAGAUGAAGUCAGCGGUAAAAUUGAGAGGCUCAACCGCUUCGAGCCGUUGAAACUGGUUUUCUUGAGUGAGCGAGAAGUAUGCGGAAUGCGUGGUGUAGCGGUGAAAGGCAUAGAUAUCACGUAGAACUCCGAUUGCGAAGGCAGCAUACCGGCGCUCAACUGACGCUCAUGCACGAAAGUGUGGGUAGCGAACAGGAUUAGAUACCCGAGUAGUC
RNAcentral lists this ribosomal RNA (459 nucleotides) under uncultured bacterium. RNAcentral describes it as "partial 16S ribosomal RNA". It matches the Rfam family "Bacterial small subunit ribosomal RNA", at positions 338 to 795 of the family's 1533-position model. The record is from RNAcentral.